Molecule: ribosomal RNA, 449 nt
Filed under: uncultured bacterium
Lineage: Bacteria
Description: partial 16S ribosomal RNA
Rfam family: Bacterial small subunit ribosomal RNA
Source: RNAcentral
AACGAACGCUGGCGGCAUGCCUAACACAUGCAAGUCGAACGAGAUCUUCGGGUCGAGUGGCGCACGGGUGCGUAACGCGUGGGAAUCUGCCGUUUGGUUCGGAAUAAGAGUGGGACACGACUGCUAAUACCGGAUGACGACGAAAGUCCAAAGAUUUAUCGCCAUAGGAUGAGCCCGCGUAGGAUUAGCUAGUUGGUGUGGUAAAGGCGCACCAAGGCGACGAUCCUUAGCUGGGCUGAGAGGAUGAUCAGCCACACUGGGACUGAGACACGGCCCAGACUCCUACGGGAGGCAGCAGUGGGGAAUAUUGGACAAUGGGCGAAAGCCUGAUCCAGCAAUGCCGCGUGAGUGAUGAAGGCCCUAGGGUUGUAAAGCUCUUUUACCCGGGAUGAUAAUGACAGUACCGGGAGAAUAAGCUCCGGCUAACUCCGUGCCAGCAGCCGCCGUAA